This 2374-nucleotide long non-coding RNA is filed under the name Marmota monax (woodchuck). Lineage: Eukaryota; Metazoa; Chordata; Mammalia; Rodentia; Sciuridae. The record is from RNAcentral.
AUUGGAUUAGAAAAAGGGAAAUAAAGAGAAGGGAAUGGGGAUGGGAAUGGGAAAGACAGUAGAGUGAAUCAGACAUAACUUUCCUGUGUUCACAUAUGAAUACAUGACCAGUGUAACUCCCAUAAUAUGUCAAAAUACAUCCUACUGGCAUGUAUAACUAAAAGUAAAAGAUUUUCUGGAGCUGCUGCUGCUAUAGUUGGCUCAUUUUUCCAGCUCUGACAAUCAUUCGUCCUGCAGUCAAAAUGAAUAGAACACUUGUUGAAACAUCUGCAUUUCUGACACUAUUCAUGAUAGAACAUUCAAUCCCGGUUAUAAGGGUUGUGGUUUCUCAUGAGAGGGCCAGGAUGUCUGUAGUUAAGAUUUCAAGUCAUACAAUCAAAAUCUUAGGACUUGAGGGAUCGUUUUUCCCCAACUGAUGCUUCCAAGCCACUCUACAUGUCUCCACAAAAUAACAGUCUAGCAUAUGUAUACACACCCUCUGUGACAAGCUGGUUACUACUGUCAGAGGGAUUCCAUUCCUUGGUCAUCUAUAGCUAUUAGAAGGUGCAACUUUAGGUUGUGUAAAAUUUAAUUCCCUGUGAUUCCUACCCACACAUAGGUGAACCACAUAGCAAAAGCUUAAUCCUCUGUACCCAUUUAUCCCUCUGUGUGUCUUUUAUUUUAAAAAAAUACUGCACAUGUUGUGCAACUCUACAUCAUAUACAACCAGAGAAAUGAAAAGUCGUGCUCUAUUUGUGUAUAAUGAAUUGAAAAGCUUUCUGUUGUCAUGUAUAACUGAUUAGAACUAAUAAAAAAUUUUUUAAAAUUAAACAUAUCAGACAUGUGGAACAUAAUAAAUACCCUUGAACAAUCCAGAACAUGAAAUGAACACCUUUGCAACCCAACCCAAGAAAUAGGUCAUUGCCACUAAUGGAGAAGCUUCUAAUGACCCCCUCCUCAGUUGCAUCCUCUUUUCCCCCAGAGGUAGCCACUUUUCUGAUUCCUGUAUUAAUCUUUUCAUUAUCGUUUUUUAAAAAUAAAUCUACCACCUGUGUAUGCAUUCCUACCAAUAUAUUAUUUAAUUUCGAAAACUGAGAAUAACUAAUCUAGCUAAACCAAGGUAACAGUGUUGCUGGCAUUAGAUGAAGGCUCUCGGGAAAAGAGGUUGCAUGGAGUCUGGAUCAUAAUCUGACAUGCACUUCCCUGAGAAUUUUUAGGAGCCUUGUCCCAGGAAAUCAGUGAGCAAGAUCAUGAAUGAGUUCUGGCAGGGAUUGUGCUCACCAUGUCUGGGCUACAGGUGAACCGGAUCUGCUGGGCUUUCGAAAGAAGCCUCACCAGGGUAGUAGGCUGCCCUGUCACACUCUGCUUCUCAGCUCCUCUGACAGCUUUAAUGGGGGUAAAACGAGGAUCCUCAGCAGACACUGGGGCACGAGGAUUGGGAAUUUUAUCAGUUUCAGGGCAAGAUGAGCCAAGCAUCUAGGCCAGUUUAGCUUGUAUGGUUUUUCACAUCUUGUACUUUUUUUUCUGUUUACUUACUUGUUUUGAUAGAAAAUUUAGCUUCCUUAAUCCUAAAUUAGCUUCUUGAGAAAGGAUGAAUAGAAAGUAAAUCUUCUCAAUCCUGUCAAGCUUAAAAAUGUCUUCAUUCUACUCUUAUAUUUGCUAAUAGUCUUCUUAAUGUGUAUAGAACUCUUAAUUGAAGAUUAUUUUUGACAAUUUUUAAAUUAAACUUUUUAUUAUGAGAUAAUUAUACAUUCACAUCAAAGUUGUAAUAAUACAGAGAAGUCUUUGGAACCCUUUACCCAGUUUCCCUAGUACAAUAUUUUAGUGAACGAUAGCAUAGUGCUACAACCAGGAUAUUGACCUUGACACGGUCAAGGAGCACCUGAUGGGCAGUGAUAUAGUCAAGAACAUUUCCAUCACCACAAAGUUCCCUCAUGUUUGUCCAUCUAUAGCACACCUGCUUGUAACCCUUGGCAACCACUAAUCUGUUCUCCCUGUGUAUGAUUUUGUUAUUUCAAGUCUUAUAUAAAUGAAAACAUAGUUGCCUAACCUUUUGGAAUUACUGUUUUUUACCCAUACAUCCUUCUCUGGAAAUUGAUCCAGGUUGUGCAUGUUUCAUUUGUUCGUUCUUUUUGUUGUUAAAUACACUCCAUGUUAUGGAUAUACCACUGUUUUUUAAAUUGUUCACUGGUUAAACAUCUGAGGAACAUCUACGUUAUUUCUAGUUUGUGACUGUUAUGAAUAAAGUUUUCUGUAAACACUCAAGAACAGUUUUCUUUUCUCUAGAAUAAAUGCCAGAGUGCAAUUACUGGGUCAUAUGCAGUUGUGUUUGGGUUAAUAUAAAACUGCCAAGCUGUUCUCUAGAGUGGCUCCCUACCCCCCCAGCAGGAUUGAG